GAUAAACGCUGGCGGCGUGCUUAACACAUGCAAGUCGAACGAAGUUUUUCCUUCGGGAGAAACUUAGUGGCGGACGGGUGAGUAACGCGUGGGUAACUUGCCCUCUCUAGGGGGACAACAGCUUGAAACGGCUGCUAAUACCGCAUAAGCACUUAGCACUGCAUGGUGCAUAGGGAAAAGGAGCAAUCCGGUACAGGAUGGACCCGCGUCUGAUUAGCCAGUUGGCAGGGUAAGGGCCUGCCAAAGCGACGAUCAGUAGCCGAUCUGAGAGGAUGUACGGCCACAUUGGAGAUGAGGCACGGCCCAGACUCCGACGGGAGGCAGCAGUGGGGAAUAUUGCGCAAUGGAGGAUGCUCUGAUGCAGCGACGCCGCGUGAGUGGAGAAGUAUUUCGGUAUGUAAAGCUCUAUCAGCAGGGAAGAAAAUGACGGUACCUGACUAAGAAGCACCGGCUAAAUACGUG
Molecule: ribosomal RNA, 462 nt
Filed under: uncultured bacterium
Lineage: Bacteria
Description: partial 16S ribosomal RNA
Rfam family: Bacterial small subunit ribosomal RNA
Source: RNAcentral